GCUUACAGCACGAACAUAAUGUCACGGUAGAACUUUUGUUCUGAGAGUUAUAAUAAUCGAACCACCCAAACUUCCAUCAACCUCACGUACCAUGUCCUCAGAAUGACAAAAACGGCAACAACUUUUUCUGUAAUGCCUUCUUUGAGCUGUUAACAUCAGGGUUUCAGGGCAGUAUCUUCAUACUGUCAAAAGUGACAUUAGUAAAAAAAAAAACGCCGAUUUCACUCGAUAUAGCAUUCAUUUGCAUGAAUUCUGAAACUGGCCCAGUUUUGAAAGUGUUUCUGAAUUCAAUGCAUGGAAGGGCCAAAAUAACCAAAACUCUAGGCAGGGUAGAAUGCACAGAUAUAUUACAAAAAUGUCUAGUGGUUGCUAAGAGAUACUCCCUCUAUGUCAAAAUAUAAGACCUUUUUUGACAACAAAAAAACGUCUCAAUGCUCGUUGCCAAAUGAGAUGAAAUUGCUCCUGGUUGAAUAUUCAAACAAAGGGGGCAUGUUACAGACGACACACGCCAUUCCUUUAUACUCCCUCUGUCCAAAAAUACUUGUCGGAGAAAUGAAUGUAUCUAGACAUAUUUUAGUUUUAGAUAUAUUCAUUUUUAUCCAUUUUUCUGACAAGUAUUUUCGGACGGAGGGAGUACUAUUCUGGAAAAUAUAAACAAGCAAAGUAUGUGUUCACCAGUUACUCUAUAGCUACAAAUGUGGACGUAUUUCUUUCGGCCCCUCCCUCUCAGCCACCAUCUACACCAUUUCUCCAUCGCUACCCCUAUCCUCACCUGCAUAAUAAAGGAUAUAAAAAUACUUCUGAAUAUGUGCAUUUUGUUAUUUGGAUAAAGGCCAGAAAAUGUGUACAGUGUACAUGCCAACAGCAGGUUAACCUACAUACCUUAGAGAUUUGUUUUGAAAACAAAUCUACUACAGACCUGUCCCUCUCCAGAUAGAAGUAAAUUCAAAGGCAAUAUAUCUGCUCUGUAAUGACAUGUCACAUGAAAAAAAGUUAGGUUAGAAAAUAAGUAACAACAUUACGGUACAGGAUUCCUGAAUCUUUAUCUUUAUCUUUACCUCUUUACCUAAUAAUAAAGAGAAUUGGGUUUAUGUCGUACGUCGGCGGCGUUUUUACAGAAAAGUCCCUUUGUUUGUUGGUAAUUAACCCGCAGUCACGUGCAUAAGUGAAAAUAACGGUUCGUCGGGGAAAAAAAGGAGUCACCCGCAUCCACCCGCACCCGCUCGCAUCGCCCUCCUCUCCCUCCCUGCUGCAGCAGUCAGAGUUUGUGCUAAAAUUUCAGAUUCGAAUUAAUAGUCCCACCCCGCAACUUUACAUCAAAUCCUAGCAACUUAUAUACUUUCCAAAUUGCAAGAAUCAACAAGCCAACGAAAGAAGUGUGAGAUACAAUCAAUCAAAGAGGAACGGCGCAUGAAUCCAACAAAAAACAGUGGUCGCGGCGGCGAAUUUGACAUUCCUUCUAAUAAUCCUCAUGGAAACAGAGUUGAGAGAAUACAGAAAAACAUUGAUAC
RNAcentral lists this long non-coding RNA (1511 nucleotides) under Triticum aestivum (bread wheat). Its description in RNAcentral is "long non-coding RNA (TAES_LNC016626)". The stretch from base 516 to 640 matches the Rfam family "MIR1120/MIR1122 microRNA precursor family". Lineage: Eukaryota; Viridiplantae; Streptophyta; Magnoliopsida; Poales; Poaceae. The record is from RNAcentral.